Drosophila bipectinata is the source of this 1043-nucleotide long non-coding RNA. RefSeq lists it as uncharacterized. The record is from RefSeq and is a predicted model, not a curated record. Lineage: Eukaryota; Metazoa; Arthropoda; Insecta; Diptera; Drosophilidae.
GUCGUCGUGAUGUGCACAUCUUGAGAAGAUUGCGUUGCUUUCUGGGCGCAGCUUUUUCAAAUUUAUUAAAAGUCGACACAAAUGCAAACCAACAAACGCCUUGUAAAUAGCAAAACUAACUGAAAUAGAGACUCAACAACACUUUCUUAUGCUAAUAGAACAAACUUAAAAUUAACAUAUUCUAAACCAAACCAUAACAAACAACGAAUAAACAAACAACGGAGUUUACACAACAACAACUUUAUAGAGGAGUUCAGUAUUAACAGCUCUCUUUAAGCCGCGUUGCCUGCAAUUUGAAAGGAUCGCAACGCAAAAUGGCGCCGCAACGCGCACGGCAACCUUACCAACAACAAAGGACACAACAAGUACAAUUUACUUGGCAAAGGCACCAGAAUCAGCCAUUAGAAGCAACAACAAUGGCCCGGCAACGACAUAGAGUGGUUGAAAAAUGAAACAAAAACCAGAAACGAAUUUUCCACUCAAAUUUGCAUUCAGCCAAAGAUAUACAAAAGUCUAAACAAAGAGGAAGGAAACAACACACAACUGUGCACAAGAAAUUCGCAAAAGAAAAGGGGUCAGAGGGCACGCACACAAACACACACACCGAAACGGACAACAGGACACAGGAACCACAACACAAAUACACCUGAAAGGAGCACAUAAAACUCAGAGAAACCACACCGACACACAAAUAAGAAAGAAAGCGCCGAGUGCAUCGUGAAUAAUUUCCAACGAAUUUCCAAAAGUCUACGAAACAAAUCUAACAAAACGUUCAUUACAAAUAAUAACAAAAGAAUCCCAUAAAAGUUUUGAAAUUUGCUCUGUGAUUUUCUAUCGGAAUGGUUUACUAACCCAAUAAUAAUAAUAAUAUUUAAUAAAAUAAUAUAUAUUUAUAAAUAUUGCUGCAUAGACGACAUACCAAAACAAACAAGUUAUCGAAUCAAUAUUGAAAGCUUUAAAUCCAACCGGAAAGAUAAACCAACAAUGUUUAUAAAUACUAGAAGCAAAAAAUAAAUACACUCCAACUAAUUAGAGCCGCAGAA